This 30-nucleotide transfer RNA is filed under the name Candida tropicalis. RNAcentral describes it as "partial transfer RNA". The record is from RNAcentral. Lineage: Eukaryota; Fungi; Ascomycota; Pichiomycetes; Serinales; Debaryomycetaceae.
UGACUUCUAAUCAAAGGAUUCUGGGUUCGA